CUGCAUUCGGCAGACCUGCUCCAGAAAACACGGCAGGCUGCAUUCGGCAGACCUGCUCCAGAAAAUACGGCAGGCUGUAUUUGGCAGACCUGCUCCAGAGAACACGGCAGGCUGCGUUUGGCAGACCUGCUUCAGAAAAUACGGCAGGCUGCAUUCAGCAGACCUGCUCCAGAAAACACAGCAGGCUACAUUCGACAGGCUGAAUUCGGCAGACCUGCUCCAGAAAA
Molecule: long non-coding RNA, 227 nt
Filed under: Homo sapiens (human)
Lineage: Eukaryota; Metazoa; Chordata; Mammalia; Primates; Hominidae
Description: HSALNT0170361
Source: RNAcentral